Molecule: ribosomal RNA, 427 nt
Filed under: uncultured bacterium
Lineage: Bacteria
Description: partial 16S ribosomal RNA
Rfam family: Bacterial small subunit ribosomal RNA
Source: RNAcentral
UGGGGAAUAUUGCACAAUGGGCGCAAGCCUGAUGCAGCCAUGCCGCGUGUAUGAAGAAGGCCUUCGGGUUGUAAAGUACUUUCAGCGGGGAGGAAGGCGAUAAGGUUAAUAACCUUGUCGAUUGACGUUACCCGCAGAAGAAGCACCGGCUAACUCCGUGCCAGCAGCCGCGGUAAUACGGAGGGUGCAAGCGUUAAUCGGAAUUACUGGGCGUAAAGCGCACGCAGGCGGUCUGUCAAGUCGGAUGUGGAAUCCCCGGGCUCAACCUGGGAACUGCAUUCGAAACUGGCAGGCUAGAGUCUUGUAGAGGGGGGUAGAAUUCCAGGUGUAGCGGUGAAAUGCGUAGAGAUCUGGAGGAAUACCGGUGGCGAAGGCGGCCCCCUGGACAAAGACUGACGCUCAGGUGCGAAAGCGUGGGGAGCAAACA